CUCGAGGAGCUUCCUAGCAGGUAUUAAAAUUGAGACCUCCAUAUUAACGUAAACUUAACUGACGAAACAAUCAGCACGUGAAAUUGUAACUAUUACCUCAACCUAAUCGCUGAUCCUCUAGACCAAGCAGAACUAAAACAACAAAGACGUGGUGAACACCAAGAAGAAAAAAGGUGUUGUACCAGCUUAUUUACAGAGGUCGCAAUAUCUGGCCUAAUGCCGCUUGCGAGAUAUUGCAGGGAUCCUAUUAAUUCGUUAUCAAAACAGUUGUGUAGUGAAAUAGAAGUUUUCAAGGGGUACCUACUUAUAGGACACAUCGCGGAACUUGACGGUGGUCUUUUUAAAUUCGUGUAAGACGUUCAUUAUCAUGAAAUUCUAAUUUAUUUAUAAUUUGGUCCCUAUUUCUUUAAUUGGAACAGCAAAUAAGUUUUCUUAUGACCCUUCCUUGGAAGAUUUCCUAUUAAUAAAAGUAAUACUGGUGUCUUUGAAGCCAUGAUCAUAUG
Zophobas morio is the source of this 503-nucleotide long non-coding RNA. RefSeq lists it as uncharacterized. Lineage: Eukaryota; Metazoa; Arthropoda; Insecta; Coleoptera; Tenebrionidae. The transcript has 3 exons. The record is from RefSeq and is a predicted model, not a curated record.